Molecule: ribosomal RNA, 459 nt
Filed under: uncultured bacterium
Lineage: Bacteria
Description: partial 16S ribosomal RNA
Rfam family: Bacterial small subunit ribosomal RNA
Source: RNAcentral
CCUACGGGGGGCAGCAGUGAGGAAUAUUGGUCAAUGGCCGAGAGCCUGAACCAGCCAAGUCGCGUGAAGGAUGAAGGCCCUAUGGUUUGUAAACUUCUUUUAUAUGGGAAUAAAGAGAGGAACGCGUUCCGUUUUGUAUGUACCAUAUGAAUAAGCAUCGGCUAACUCCGUGCCAGCAGCCGCGGUAAUACGGAGGAUGCGAGCGUUAUCCGGAUUUAUUGGGUUUAAAGGGUGCGUAGGGGGUAAUGUAAGUCAGCGGUAAAAGUGUGGGGCUCAACCACAAACCGCCGUUGAAACUGGGUGACUUGAGUAGACGUGAAGUAGGCGGAAUGCGUGGUGUAGCGGUGAAAUGCUUAGAUAUCACGAAGAACUCCGAUUGCGAAGGCAGCUUACUAAACUGCCACUGACACUGAUGCUCGAAAGUGUGGGUAUCAAACAGGAUUAGAUACCCGAGUAGUC